CAGCCGCCGCGGUAAUACGAAGGGUGCAAGCGUUACUCGGAAUUACUGGGCGUAAAGCGUGCGUAGGUGGUGGUUUAAGUCCGUUGUGAAAGUCCUGGGCUCAACCUGGGAAUUGCAGUGGAUACUGGAUCACUAGAGUGUGGUAGAGGAUAGUGGAAUUUCCGGUGUAGCAGUGAAAUGCGUAGAGAUCGGAAGGAACAUCUGUGGCGAAGGCGACUAUCUGGGCCAACACUGACACUGAGGCACGAAAGCGUGGGGAGCAAACAGGAUUAGAUACCCCUGUAGUCCCUGUCUCUUAUAC
This 301-nucleotide ribosomal RNA is filed under the name uncultured bacterium. Its description in RNAcentral is "partial 16S ribosomal RNA". It matches the Rfam family "Bacterial small subunit ribosomal RNA", at positions 509 to 807 of the family's 1533-position model. The record is from RNAcentral.